RNAcentral lists this ribosomal RNA (252 nucleotides) under uncultured bacterium. RNAcentral's name for it is "partial 16S ribosomal RNA". It matches the Rfam family "Bacterial small subunit ribosomal RNA", at positions 524 to 776 of the family's 1533-position model. The record is from RNAcentral. RNAcentral also lists the same sequence under 1 other name.
UACGUAGGUGGCAAGCGUUGUCCGGAUUUAUUGGGCGUAAAGCGCGCGCAGGCGGUCGAUUAAGUCUGAUGUUAAAGCCCGGGGCUCAACCUCGGUUCGCAUUGGAAACUGGUCGACUUGAGUGCAGGAGAGGAAAGUGGUAUUCCACGUGUAGCGGUGAAAUGCGUAGAGAUGUGGAGGAACACCAGUGGCGAAGGCGACUUUCUGGCCUGUAACUGACGCUGAGGCGCGAAAGCGUGGGGAGCAAACAGG